Molecule: long non-coding RNA, 1313 nt
Filed under: Homo sapiens (human)
Lineage: Eukaryota; Metazoa; Chordata; Mammalia; Primates; Hominidae
Description: HSALNT0249335
Source: RNAcentral
GGAAGAGUUGCACUAUGUUGACCAGGCUGGUUUUGAACCCUUGGCCUCAAGCGAUCCUUCCUCUUCGGCCUCCCAAAGUGUUGGAUUUACAGAUGUGAGCCGCCCUGCCCAGACAGCAAAACUUUAUUUAAACUACUAAUUCAAAGAAUAUGAGACACCUGCUCAAAGUCACAGAGAGGUUAAACAACUUGCCUGAGAUAACGAAACUUUAAACAAGUGAGUCCUUUCCUUCCAAUCUAAGUAUGGAGUACAAUGGAACAGUAGAGCUGCACUGAAGACAAGACUUCUUGGGCUACCAUUUUUCUGGAAGUUUCUACAAAGUCUGUUAUUUAUCAUUCGGACAGACUGUGACAAAUGCCAUUUUAAUUCAAUGAUAUGAUUAAAUAAAGGUUUACUGAUUGUUUCAUUUCCUGUAUAGUUCUAUAAUUUGAUAUAAUCCCAUGUGGGGUUUUUUUUGCUUUUGUUGCUUAUGCUUUUGGUGUCAUGCCCAGAGGAAUGUCAUUGAGGUUUCCCUCUGUUUUUCCCCAGUAAUUCUUUGGGUUCAGGUCUUAUGUUUACAUCUUUAUUACAUUUUGAGGGGUUUUUUUUGUAUAUGGUAUCAGAUAAAGGUCCAAUUUCAUUCCUUUGUAUGUGAAUAUUCAUUUUUCCAAACACCUUUUAUUGAAUAGAUUAUUCUUUUUCCAUUGUACGUUUCUUGACAUCCAUGUGAAAGGGCUCUCUAUUGUAUUCUAUUUGUCUUUAUGUCUAUUUUUAUGUGAUUACCAUGCCAUUUUGAUUACUGUAACUUUGAAAUAUAUUUUGAAAUCAGGGAGUGAGGCUUCCCAUUUUGAUCUUUUUACUCAAGAUUGCUUUGGCUAUUUAAGAUCAUUUGUGGUCCAAUAUGAAUUUUAGGAUUGUUUUUUCUAAUUGUGUAAAGAAUGCCAUUGGGAUUUAGGUAGGGAUUGCAUUGACUCUGUAGAUCUCUUUGGGUAGUAUAAACAUUUUAACAAUUUAAUUCUUCCAAUUCAAAAGGGAUGUCAUUCUAUUUAUCUGUGCCUUCUUUCAUUUCAUUCAUCAAUGUCUAAUGUCUUUUAUCUCCUUGGUUAAGUGUAUUCAUAAUAAUUUUAUGCUUUUUUUUGCUAUUGUGAAUGGAAUUGCUUUCUUAAUUUCCUUUUUGUAUAGUUUGCUGUUUGUAUAUAGAAAUAUAACUGGUUCUCAUAUGUUGAUUUUGUAUCCUGUAACUUUACUGAAUCCAUUUAUAAGUUCUAAUAGUUUUCGUUGUUGUUAUUGUUGUCUUUUGGGUUUUCUACAUAUAUGAUCAUGUCUUUUGCAAA